UCUGGGCAGUUGAUGAGUCUCAUGGUAUUGUGGGUAAUUGCGUCUGAAUAAUCAACGAUGUUUUACUUUCACCUUGGAGAACUGAUGCCCAAG
This 93-nucleotide small nucleolar RNA is filed under the name Rosa chinensis. The record is from RNAcentral. Lineage: Eukaryota; Viridiplantae; Streptophyta; Magnoliopsida; Rosales; Rosaceae.